RNAcentral lists this ribosomal RNA (720 nucleotides) under Triticum aestivum (bread wheat). Its description in RNAcentral is "partial small subunit ribosomal RNA". Lineage: Eukaryota; Viridiplantae; Streptophyta; Magnoliopsida; Poales; Poaceae. The record is from RNAcentral.
AUGGCUUCCAGUUUGCAGCCAUGGCUUCUUCUCCUCAUCCUCCCCCUCCUCUCUUUGGUGCUUAGCCCGGCAGCGCCUGCGGCGGUGUUCAACGACAACUUCGUGGCGGUAGGGGGUACAGAUGCUAAUCACCUAGUUAAUCAGGGGACAUCAGUUCGCCUCGUCUUGGAUAGGAGCUCCGGGGCUGGAUUUAGUUCCAAGGUGGCGUACGGUUCAGGGUGGAUCCAAAUGAGGAUCAAGAUACCCGCCGGGUACACUGCAGGGGUUGUAACGGCCUUCUAUCUCACGUCGGAGCCCGAGUACGGUGACCACGACGAGGUGGAUUUCGAGUUCUUGGGCAACGUGGAGGGAAAGCCGGUCGCUCUCCAGACCAACAUCUUUCUGAACGGCAAAGGCGAGAGGGAGCAGAAGUUCGACCUUUGGUUCGACCCGGGUGCCGAUUUCCAUGACUACAAGAUACUCUGGAACCCCUACCAGCUCGUGAUGUUCGUCGACGACACGCCCAUACGGGUGCUCAAGAACCUCAUGCCCGGCCAGUUCCUGGUGAGGCCGAUGAAGAUCCGGGGGAGCCUCUGGGACGGCUCCGACUGGGCGACGGACAAUGGCAAAUACAGGGUCGACUAUAACCGUGCGCCGUUCACCGCCGUGUUACAGGGUUUUGACGUCUAUGGCUGCCCCGCCACCGGAGGCGCGCCCUGUGGCUCACUGAGCCUGUCGUGA